This 838-nucleotide long non-coding RNA is filed under the name Homo sapiens (human). RNAcentral describes it as "non-protein coding GAS5:31". The record is from RNAcentral. Lineage: Eukaryota; Metazoa; Chordata; Mammalia; Primates; Hominidae.
UAAAGAACACUCUUUAAAAAAAAGAACCGUGGAACAAUGAAUUAAAAUCUGUACCUGAUCUCUUUAGGUAUGGUGCUGGGUGCAGAUGCAGUGUGGCUCUGGAUAGCACCUUAUGGACAGUUGUGUCCCCAAGGAAGGAUGAGAAUAGCUACUGAAGUCCUAAAGAGCAAGCCUAACUCAAGCCAUUGGCACACAGGCAUUAGACAGAAAGCUGGAAGUUGAAAUGGUGGAGUCCAACUUGCCUGGACCAGCUUAAUGGUUCUGCUCCUGGUAACGUUUUUAUCCAUGGAUGACUUGCUUGGGUAAGGACAUGAAGACAGUUCCUGUCAUACCUUUUAAAGGUAUGGAGAGUCGGCUUGACUACACUGUGUGGAGCAAGUUUUAAAGAAGCAAAGGACUCAGAAUUCAUGAUUGAAGAAAUGCAGGUUAGUUUAAACUUUGAAGGAAAUUUUUAAGGUGGCAAAAGGUUUUGGUGGCAUAUACACCUUAAUCUGUAGAUGGGAGUGAUUAGCUGUUUAAAAGUUAAAAUGUGACUGAGAAGGAAAUUGAGUAGGGCAAAUUUUAAAUGGGUAUUAUUUUUCAUCUUCAAACAGGCAGACCUGUUAUCCUAAACUAGGGUUUUUAAUGACCACAACAAGCAAGCAUGCAGCUUACUGCUUGAAAGGGUCUUGCCUCACCCAAGCUAGAGUGCAGUGGCCUUUGAAGCUUACUACAGCCUCAAACUUCUGGGCUCAAGUGAUCCUCAGCCUCCCAGUGGUCUUUGUAGACUGCCUGAUGGAGUCUCAUGGCACAAGAAGAUUAAAACAGUGUCUCCAAUUUUAAUAAAUUUUUGCAAUCC